Molecule: ribosomal RNA, 862 nt
Filed under: Phyllachora sp. XL-2018c
Lineage: Eukaryota; Fungi; Ascomycota; Sordariomycetes; Phyllachorales; Phyllachoraceae
Description: eukaryotic LSU rRNA
Rfam family: Eukaryotic large subunit ribosomal RNA
Source: RNAcentral
CAUAUCAAUAAGCGGAGGAAAAGAAACCAACAGGGAUUGCCCUAGUAACGGCGAGUGAAGCGGCAAUAGCUCAAAUUUGAAAUCUGCCCCCCGGCCGAGUUGUAAUUUGCAGAGGAUGCUUUUGGCACGGUGCUUACUGAGUCCCCUGGAACGGGGCGCCAGAGAGGGUGAGAGCCCCGUAAGGUAAGAUGCCUAGCCAGUGUAAAGCUCCUUCAACGAGUCGAGUAGUUUGGGAAUGCUGCUCUAAAUGGGAGGUAAAUUCCUUCUAAAGCUAAAUACUUGCCAGAGACCGAUAGCGCACAAGUAGAGUGAUCGAAAGAUGAAAAGCACUUUGAAAAGAGAGUCAAACAGCACGUGAAAUUGUUGAAAGGGAAGCGCUUGUGACUAUUAUUGCGCCGGGUCGACCGCGACCGUUUUCGGUAGUGUACUCGGCCCGGUGUCAGCCAGCAUCGGUUGCCGUGGGGGGAGAACAGUUUCGAGAAUGUGACUCCUUUGGAGUGUUAUAGCUUGGGGCAUAAUACCCCCAUGACAACUGAGGACCGCGCUUUGCGAGGAUGCUGUUACAAUGGUUAUUGGCGACCCGUCUUGAAACACGGACCAAGGAGUCAAGGUUUUGCGCAAGUGUUUGGGUGUAAAACCCGCACGCGUAAUGAAAGUGAACGUAGGUGAGAGCUUCGGCGCAUCACCGACCGAUCCUGAUGUAUUCGGAUGGAUUUGAGUAGCAGCGCAGUGCCUUGGACCCGAAAGAUGGUGAACUAUGCUUGGAUAGGGUGAAGCCAGAGGAAACUCUGGUGGAGGCUCGCAGCGGUUCUGACGUGCAAAUCGAUCGUCAAAUCUGAGCAUGGGGGCGAAAGACUAAUCG